RNAcentral lists this ribosomal RNA (253 nucleotides) under uncultured bacterium. RNAcentral's name for it is "partial 16S ribosomal RNA". It matches the Rfam family "Bacterial small subunit ribosomal RNA", at positions 524 to 776 of the family's 1533-position model. The record is from RNAcentral.
UACGUAGGGGGCAAGCGUUGUCCGGAUUUAUUGGGCGUAAAGAGCGUGUAGGCGGUUCGGUAGGUCCGUUGUGAAAACUCGAGGCUCAACCUCGAGGCGCCGAUGGAAACCCUCGAACUAGAGUCCGGAAGAGGAGAGUGGAAUUCCCGGUGUAGCGGUGAAAUGCGCAGAUAUCGGGAAGAACACCCGUGGCUAAGGCGGCUCUCUAGUACGGUACUGACGCUGAGACGCGAAAGCGUGGGGAGCGAACAGG